AGCAGCCGCGGUAAUUCCAGCUCCAAUAGCGUAUAUUAAAGUUGUUGCAGUUAAAAAGCUCGUAGUUGAAUUUCGGGGUCAAUAAGUUGGUCGUGCCAAUGGUAUGUACUGGCUUUAUUGAUUCCUACCUCUUGACGAACUGUGAUGCCAUUAAUUUGGUGUUGCAGGAAAUCAGGACUGUUACCUUGAAAAAUUAGAGUGUUUAAAGCAGGCUUACGCUUGAAUACAUUAGCAUGGAAUAAUGAAAUAGGACGUUUGAACCUAUUUUGUUGGUUUCUAGGAUCGACGUAAUGAUUAAUAGGGAUAGUUGGGGGCAUUAGUAUUCAAUUGUCAGAGGUGAAAUUCUUGGAUUUAUUGAAGACUAACUACUGCGAAAGCAUUUGCCAAGGAUGUUUUCAUUAAUCAAGAACGAAAGUUAGGGGAUCGAAGACGAUCAGAUACCGUCGUAGUCUUAACCAUAAACUAUGCCGACUAGGGAUCGGAUGAUGUUAAU
This 493-nucleotide ribosomal RNA is filed under the name uncultured Glomus. RNAcentral describes it as "SSU rRNA". It matches the Rfam family "Eukaryotic small subunit ribosomal RNA", at positions 569 to 1067 of the family's 1831-position model. Lineage: Eukaryota; Fungi; Glomeromycota; Glomeromycetes; Glomerales; Glomeraceae. The record is from RNAcentral.